GUAGGGAAUAUUGGGCAAUGGAUGCAAGUCUGACCCAGCCAUCCCGCGUGCCGGAAGAAGGCCCUCAGGGUUGUAAACGGCUUUUGACGGUGAAGAAUCGACAGGAUGCGUCCUGCUUUGACGGUAGCCGUUGAAUAAGCACCGGCUAACUCCGUGCCAGCAGCCGCGGUAAUACGGAGGGUGCGAGCGUUGUCCGGAUUUAUUGGGUUUAAAGGGUGCGUAGGCUGGAAGGUCAGUCAGCGGUGAAAAGCUGUCGCUUAACGAUAGUCUUGCCGCAGAUACUUCCUUUCUUGGAUGAGGAGGAGGCCACUGGAACGGAUGGUGUAGCGGUGAAAUGCAUAGAUAUCAUCCAGAACACCGAUUGCGAAGGCAGGUGGCUGUACCUUAAUCGACGCUGAUGCACGAAAGCAUGGGGAGCAAACAGGAUUAGAAACCCGAGUAGUCC
Molecule: ribosomal RNA, 445 nt
Filed under: uncultured bacterium
Lineage: Bacteria
Description: partial 16S ribosomal RNA
Rfam family: Bacterial small subunit ribosomal RNA
Source: RNAcentral